GGAGCCAUCGUACCCAAUCGAGAUUCGCAAAAAUCCACAAACCUCGAUACAUCUGAAAAAACUCUGAAACUGGCACAAUUGAGAAUCAUAUUUUCCUUUACCAUUUUACACAGGAAGAAGAAAGAAUCAGUAAAGCUCACUACUUUUGGAGCAAAUAAAAAAACAAAAAGUGACACAAAAGCUGAACUCAAAAGGGGAAAAGGUGACAGAAGAG
RNAcentral lists this long non-coding RNA (214 nucleotides) under Olea europaea (common olive). RNAcentral's name for it is "long non-coding RNA (OEUR_LNC011025)". Lineage: Eukaryota; Viridiplantae; Streptophyta; Magnoliopsida; Lamiales; Oleaceae. The record is from RNAcentral.